This 1857-nucleotide long non-coding RNA is filed under the name Brachypodium distachyon (stiff brome). RNAcentral's name for it is "long non-coding RNA (BDIS_LNC004560)". The record is from RNAcentral. Lineage: Eukaryota; Viridiplantae; Streptophyta; Magnoliopsida; Poales; Poaceae.
UUUAACUGGUUCUAUUUCUAUUAAAUCGCGCAUUAUUUGUUCCCUCGACUGCUGAGUGUGCACCAUUUCAGAAAUUGGACAAAAUGCCACAUCUUUCUUUGGUCUUUGCCACAGACACACAUCUUUCCUAACUUACACAAGCUAGCACUAUUUCCUUUGGAAUUUUGACGAAAUAGCAUUUUUUGUUCCUAAAUGCUCGAAAGUGCAUAUGCACUUAUUGCCAUCGUCAGGCGCACAUGGCUCCGCAGCGUCCGAUCGGGGUGGGUGGGUUGGAUUUUCGGUUCAUAAGGGGAGAGGGGGUCGAUUAGAUGCUGCUCAUUUCCGAAAUCGCCCUGCCAAAAUGCAUCUAUUGUACUUGCAUGUGGUGAUUGCUUUUGUGGUUCCCGUAGAUGGAGGUUAGAUGCUUCGGAGUUGUUCCCAGUUUGUUAAACUAGGCAGUUGUAUUGGCUGAUUUUUGGACUUUGUUGUCCUUGUUGUUGUAAACUUGCAACUUAGGGUGCUAGGCCCCUCUAGUUUUCAGUGUGGCAGUUGCUCGAGUUGCAUGUCAGCUAUGGGCUGUUAGCUAAGUCAAAGCAGUUUUUGUAGAUAUUAUUAGAUGAUGCCGAGAUGUUGUACUCCGAGAUUGUUUUAGGCAACACGUUUUUCGCCCUUUGUGCUAUUAGCCAAGUUUCGUACAUGUUUAUAGAUGUUGGCGAGAUGUUUGUAGUUCUGAAAUUUAGGGAAGUUUUGAACCACUUCCGUGCCCCUGUGCAAGGUUUGUACAUGUCAUAGAUGUUGACCAGAAGUUGUAGUUCUGGAUGUUAGGCAAGUUUUUAGCUACCUUUUCGUGCCCGUGGGCUAUGCGCUAAAGUUUUGUACAUGUCAUCAUAGAUGUUUGCCUAGAUGUUGUAGGUCUGGAUUUUAGGCAAGGUUCGAGCCACCGUUAAUGUAGCAUUUCUUUUGCCCUUCAUGCUUUUCACGCUAGUUUUGUACAUGUUGUUGAUUCGUGCUUUUUUCUGGAUCAUGUGCGUAGUGGAUAUCAUGGAUUCGAACGAGGAUGAAGCAGAAGGGGUCGGAUUGAAGAUAUUUUUGGAGAUUUAAUUCAUUUACGUAGCAGGCGCAAACUACAAGGGGGUGAAAACUUGCUCGGCGGUAAUGUUAGAAGAUUUGCUUCAGGGGGUUGACAACAUAUUGAAGGCGCAAACUACAAGUUUACAAGGCUAAUUGUGUGCAGGGUGUCGAGAGUAUAACGAGCCCAAUUUGGACGUAGAUGCGCUGGAGCUGUGGGACAAGAGGUAAUCCCCUGCUUCUUCUUUUUUGUAAUAUAGGUGCAUGCUUUUUUUUUAAGAUCCUUUGAUAUUUUUUGCAUGGUUUUUAUUAGAUGCAUCAGAGGAAAGUAUCUUUCCUCCGAUGCAUCUACUUAGGAGCUUGUGAUCGCUCUUUUUUUUUCUCGUUUUGCUGUAAUUUUGUUUUUGAAAUAAGUCACAUUGCUUUGUUAAAGGUCCAUAGAUGUCGAUGCAGUCCCUUUUCUUGAUUCAAUAGAGGUUUCUGCAUUUAUCUAGUUGCAUGCUUUUUUUAUUUAUCUGGUUUGCAUGAUGUACAUAUGUUCCUUCAAUAUAGGUAGAUGUCCAUCGCAAUCCGUUCUUCUUGCUGCAAUUCAACUUUGUAGAAAUUAAUUAGCUGCGUGCUUUUAAUUUUAUGGUUGUAUGAUGUACACGGUUAAUAUAGGGGCCAUAUAGAUGUCGAUGCAGCCCUUUUUCUUGCUGCAAUUCAGCUUUUGGACGAUUAAUGAUUGGAUGGAUGGAUUAUGACAAAAACAACAUACCAUGAAAAACCAUGGUCAAACUCAAAUAUGUCAGUGCUCACGCUUUUUUAGUA